AACCUCCGCAAUGUGAGAAAUCGCGACGGGGGGAUCCCAAGUGCCAUUCUUAACGGGAUGGCUUUUCUUAAGUGUAAAAAGCUUUUGGAAUAAGAGCUGGGCAAGACCGGUGCCAGCCGCCGCGGUAACACCGGCAGCUCUAGUGGUAGCUGUUUUUAUUGGGCCUAAAGCGUUCGUAGCCGGUUUGAUAAGUCACUGGUGAAAUCCUGUAGCUUAACUGUGGGAAUUGCUGGUGAUACUGUUGAACUUGAGGUCGGGAGAGGUUAGCGGUACUCCCAGGGUAGAGGUGAAAUUCUGUAAUCCUGGGAGGACCACCUGUGGCGAAGGCGGCUAACUGGAACGAACCUGACGGUGAGGGACGAAAGCUAGGGGCGCGAACCGGAUUAGAUACCCGGGUAGUCCUAGCCGUAAACGAUGCGGACUUGGUGUUGGGAUGGCUUUGAGCCGCUCCGGUGCCGAAGGGAAGCUGUUAAGUCCGCCGCCUGGGAAGUCGGUCGCAAGACUGAAACUUAGAGUAGUG
RNAcentral lists this ribosomal RNA (520 nucleotides) under uncultured bacterium. RNAcentral describes it as "bacterial SSU rRNA". It matches the Rfam family "Archaeal small subunit ribosomal RNA", at positions 345 to 866 of the family's 1478-position model. The record is from RNAcentral.